Molecule: ribosomal RNA, 305 nt
Filed under: uncultured bacterium
Lineage: Bacteria
Description: bacterial SSU rRNA
Rfam family: Bacterial small subunit ribosomal RNA
Source: RNAcentral
CCCUACGGGGGGCAGCAGUGAGGAAUAUUGGUCAAUGGGCGGGAGCCUGAACCAGCCAAGCCGCGUGAAGGAAGAAGGCGCCAGGCGUCGUAAACUUCUUUUGUCGGGGAACAAAGGGCGCCACGCGUGGCGUUGUGAGUGUACCCGAAGAAAAAGCAUCGGCUAACUCCGUGCCAGCAGCCGCGGUAAUACGGAGGAUGCGAGCGUUAUCCGGAUUUAUUGGGUUUAAAGGGUGCGUAGGCGGUCCGUUAAGUCAGCGGUAAAAUUGCGGGGCUCAACCCCGUCGAGCCGUUGAAACUGGCAGG